UACGGGGGGAGCAAGCGUUGUUCGGAUUUACUGGGCGUAAAGGGCGCGUAGGCGGCCACCGCAAGUCGACUGUGAAAUCUCCGGGCUUAACCCGGAAACUGCCGUUGAUACUAUCUGUCUUGAAUAUCGUGGAGGUAAGCGGAAUAUGUCAUGUAGCGGUGAAAUGCUUAGAUAUGACAUAGAACACCCAUUGCGAAGGCAGCUUACUACACGAUCAUUGACGCUGAGGCACGAAAGCGUGGGGAGCAAACAGG
This 254-nucleotide ribosomal RNA is filed under the name uncultured prokaryote. RNAcentral describes it as "partial 16S ribosomal RNA". It matches the Rfam family "Bacterial small subunit ribosomal RNA", at positions 524 to 776 of the family's 1533-position model. The record is from RNAcentral.